This 270-nucleotide unclassified non-coding RNA is filed under the name Hevea brasiliensis (rubber tree). Lineage: Eukaryota; Viridiplantae; Streptophyta; Magnoliopsida; Malpighiales; Euphorbiaceae. The record is from RNAcentral.
GUUGGAGACUGUGCCGAGGCUACAAAGGAAAGAGUUCUAGGUUUCAUCGAGAGUGAUUGCCCGUGCAGAGGGAAUUUGCGAAGCAAAAGAGAAAAGUAAGAGACAUAAGUAAAGGAAAGGAAGAGCGGUUUCACAUGGAGGCUGAGUCGUGGUUGUAGUAUAUGAAGUGAAGAUAGGAUCGUAGGCAUGGCGGUGGCCGGAAGGGAAAUGGCUGGUCUCCUACCCUCUAUGCUCUCGUUCAGUCGUUCGCUGAGCACAGUGAGCAGCUAA